AUUUAUAUAGUUUAAAUAAAACAUUACAUUUUCACUGUAAAAAUAAUAAAAAUUAUUUAUAAAUU
RNAcentral lists this transfer RNA (65 nucleotides) under Pseudoxya diminuta. RNAcentral describes it as "tRNA-Glu". The record is from RNAcentral. Lineage: Eukaryota; Metazoa; Arthropoda; Insecta; Orthoptera; Acrididae.